UGUUCUUCAACUCAAAAUUUCCAUUAUGAAAAAAUCGCACGGUGCGUUCAUUAGCAGUCACCUCUCCAAACGCAACAUUGAUAUUGCAGCGUUAGUUCCGUGUUGGAAUGACUGGAAUUGAAUUUUCGAAGUAUCCAUCUUUCCUAGCUUUCUUAGUUUCUAAGCUAAAUAAAAAAGACAACUGAAAGUCAAUAAUCGAAUGUUGCACAUUUUUUAAAAGAAGAAAGAACCUCGUACCAUUUGAAAAAAAAUUCAGUCAAAAAUCUCAAACCAUGAAACGAAAUGAAAGUUUCACCAGGACAGGUGGGGCAGCAAAGGCUCAGCCAGGAGAGGUGGGAUUUGCUAACAGCUGCCUCCGAAGGAGACCUAACAACUUCAGAGUAGCUGCUUUUCGAAUGAAUCUACUACCGGAUGAGAAUCGCGACCCGCCCCCUGAUCACGUAAAAAUUUGCGACAGCCACAAUUUUGCAGAUGUUGUGCAGACGCGUCGCGACCGAUCGCAAAACGUCAAAUUAUUUCGUAUCACGUACCGCGAUUGUUCGCUUACCGCUUACUGCAGUUUUCUGUCAUACAACUAGCGCCAGUCGCAAUCGGGUAGCAAUAAUUGGCACUAAAAAGCCACAUUACUUUUUUUUUUUUGCUGAACAAACCGGCAAAUGAAUUUAUAAAAGCGCGUUACAUAUAAACAUUUCAAAAUGUUUAAGUGGAAUUCACGUUUGAAACACCAAGUGAGAACUGCUAAUUCUGUUCUUUUCGAUGAAGCGUUACUAAAAAUAAGUGAUCUAAUAAUAAUUUUUGCUUUAUUUUGAAUAAUAGCUAUAAAAAUGUAAUUGUGUCAUGUCAAACACUGAUAACAUUUUUUUUUGUAAUCGUUUGAUAAUUUGUAAUCAGAUAGUUGUUUACGUUACGAACCUAUUUUAAAAAAGAAUGGAUCAAAAUUAUAGCCUAAUUUAUUAAUUUCAUUAACAAUUAAGUAAGUACAUAAGCUCACAACCCAUCUAGUGUUAAGUGGUAUAGACCUUACAACGUGAAUGCCGCCCCCACCUUUAGAAACGAGGUCUGAGUUUCAACUGUAUACCAAAACGGCUGCCCCAUUCUUCAAAUUGCAACGCAUUACUGCUUCGCGGUAGAAAUGGGCGGAAUGGUGGUCUUGCGGGUUAAUCAAACGCCCUACCACCAACGAUUUCUUAAAGAAUAUUUGCUAAUUUGAUUUUAAAUAAAAGAUGAAUGAAUCCUUAAUCAUGGAAGUCUUCCAUGUAUAUAUGUCAAAUACGUGUUUUAUUGGAUUUAUUGAUAUCUGCCUGGGGGAUUCUAACACUAGUUCAGUCGCAUCUUUAUUAGAAAGUCGGCCGUCUCUACUACACCGCUUAGGCCACGACGAUUUCAAAUUAAAUAGUAAAUUCUAGAAUAAAUGAAUUAGUUUUAUGGUUUUAUCAAUAAUAACGUGUACAACAGAUCCAUCUUACGCCGACAUGAGGCCGACAACGCUAGAACAACCAGUCGAUGAUAUUCUAGGCGAGAUGCUGCUAUUCUUUAUCAAGUAAUAGAUAGUGGAUUUGUUUGACUUGGCAAGAGUAGGCUUUGAUUUGAAUACCAGAAAUAUAGUGCAGUCUUUCACAGCUUGAAGGGAAAUAAAAGCUGUGCAGACUAUUCAAAAUAAUGUUCACCCAAGGUCAUGGGCAAUAUGACGUGAAUAGGAAACUGCAUGUCAGACAUUAACUUAAUGUUCUAUAUUAUUUUUAAACAAAUGAAUCUAAUAAUUUAAGACAAUAAAUAAAUAUUUAUUUUUAUAAUUAGCCCAGUUUUUCGUCGACGAAGCCAUCUUAAGAGAAGCUUCAUUGCAAAUAUCAGGCCGAUAUUUAACUAUAGCGGACAACAAACAAGAGUAGACACAUCGUGAGCUGUAGUUGUAGAAAGAGGAGAAAAUGGAAACUAAGGCGAACCACUGGCUCAUGCAGCUUUCAUUUCAGCAUUUCAUUUCAGAGCAGCAGAAUUGACCAUUAACGGCAAAAACCUUGUUUAAAAUAAUAAGUUCAAAUUUGUUUUAAUUUUAGCUGAGUCCGUAAUAGUUUAUAUUACCAUAAAAACGAAAUAGCGCUUGUUACAAUAGUCAAGCAAAUCCAAAUAUAUACGUUUUACUUUAGGCUGGUACUACAGUAAAUUUUAUGACACUAAUGAGUAUAUUUUACGCUAAUAAAACUACUCUCAACUUAGCAUUUCAAAA
Bombyx mori (domestic silkworm) is the source of this 2224-nucleotide long non-coding RNA. RefSeq lists it as uncharacterized. The record is from RefSeq and is a predicted model, not a curated record. The transcript is spliced from 2 exons. NCBI's taxonomy places the organism in Eukaryota, Metazoa, Arthropoda, Insecta, Lepidoptera, Bombycidae.